This 447-nucleotide ribosomal RNA is filed under the name uncultured bacterium. RNAcentral's name for it is "partial 16S ribosomal RNA". It matches the Rfam family "Bacterial small subunit ribosomal RNA", at positions 28 to 523 of the family's 1533-position model. The record is from RNAcentral.
GAUGUAUGCUGGCGGUAUGGAUAAGGCAUGCAAGUCGAGGGCACCGCAAGGUGACCGGCAGACGAGGUAGUAACACGUAGGAACGUACACCGAAGUCAGGGAUAGCCAGCCGAAAGGUUGGGUAAUACUUGAUGGUCUCGCGAGAGUAAAGAUUUAUCGCUUCGGGAGCGGCCUGCGCAAUAUCAGCUAGUUGGUGAGGUAACGGCUCACCAAGGCGACGAUCAGUAGCUGGUCUGAGAGGAUGAUCAGCCACACUGGGACUGAGACACGGCCCAGACUCCUACGGGAGGCAGCAGUGGGGAAUAUUGGACAAUGGGCGCAAGCCUGAUCCAGCCAUGCCGCGUGAGUGAUGAAGGCCCUGGGGUUGUAAAGCUCUUUCGGCGGGGACGAUAAUGACGGUACCCGCAGAAGAAGCCCCGGCUAACUUCGUGCCAGCCGCCGCCGUAA